GGUAGUCCAUUCAAAUUGGUUUCCAUCGAGGCUACAGAUGGAAAUGGAAUAUUAUUGAAAAUGGACUACUUAUUUGUUUCUUAAAUGGGGAUAGAUACCCUUCUGGGAAUAUGUGGUAAUUUUCUUGGGAUGAGUAAAGAUAGGGGAUAAAACUCAGCACAACUUUCUGGAAGAUUAACUUUUCUCCCUGGUUUGGGGAGAUGGAGAAGUUAAGACAUUAACUAAAGAGGUAAAAUUACCCAGAGUUUGUUGCUGGGUAAUCAGGGAUUAUAUUUACCAGCUUCUCUUGCAUUUAAUUGGGGCCAUGUGAUGACAUUUUGCUCAAGGGAUGUGGGGAGGAUGGCUGUUAAUUUUGGGCUGAAGCAAUUAAGCACUUCUCUCCCCAUCUCACAGUUGAAUGGAGAGGUUGCAGAAGCUCUGAAGGAGGGUAGAGUCACAAGGCCACAGGGCAGGUUGUCCACCUACCAGCCACACCCACACAGACUUUAGACCUCGAUCAUCUUGAAAUUCAUUCAGAUACCAUGGCCUGCCCAAGUGGAGAUAUUUGCCUUUGCAAUUAGAUGUGCCCAGGGAACUAUGUCUAAAUCAACAGGAGCAUGUGAAUGACAGUUCAAGUCAUGCGCGGUCUCCAUCACUUUACUGGCCAUCAGCCCUUUCUCAGGAAGCUUCUGGAGGAUAUGCUCCACCAAACUGAGGUUGUAAACCAAGAAAGAGGAAGACAUGGGAGACAGGAAACAGAAGACUCAGCAAAGGAGAGAGGAGGAGCCCUGUGACAACCGUGUACCCAGAACUGAGGUGCUGAGGGCAAUCUGGAACAGGUCAGAUGGACCCAACAGGGAUUUAUUCACUAAGAUGACAUUGAGAGUCUCUCUGUGCAUUCAUAAACAUGGAAAAGAGGAGAGUGUUGAGUUGAUUAGUGGUAACAAUGUUAAUCACAAGAAAGCAAAAUGUUAAUGUCAGACAAAAUGGAAAAAAAAAAUGUGUGCAGGCAAGAAAAAGUAAUCAUGGGCUAGCUCGUGGCUCAUCUGUAAAGAGAGUUUACUUAGUCAUAGAUAUAAACACAGCAUAUUAAUCGAUCUAAAAAUGUGAUGCAGUGUCUUGGAGAAUUGAGGGCAGGAGGAGUGCAUGUGUGUGGUAGGGAUGAAGGCAUCUGACAAAAAAAGAGCUAAAUCCUCAGCUCCCAUAGUGAGAAGUCUGUGCAUAAUGCCUAAAAAAGAACAAUCAGGACUUAGACAUACAAACAUGUUAUUUGCUGAUACGGACAUAAAUACCCAAAGAACUCAUGGAAAGAAUUGAAAUCAGUUGCCUCUGGGGAAAGGAUAAAGGGGGGCAGGGACUGAUAUUUGUGGCAACAAGUCCAAUUUUUUUACAGUUUAUUUAGAGAGGGAGAGAGAGAGAGCUGGGGAGGGGCAGAGAGAGAGGG
Molecule: long non-coding RNA, 1423 nt
Organism: Prionailurus viverrinus (fishing cat)
Lineage: Eukaryota; Metazoa; Chordata; Mammalia; Carnivora; Felidae
Exons: 3
Source: RefSeq, a predicted model, not a curated record